GUGGGGAAUUUUGGACAAUGGGCGAAAGCCUGAUCCAGCCAUGCCGCGUGCAGGAUGAAGGCCUUCGGGUUGUAAACUGCUUUUGUACGGAACGAAAAGACUCCUUCUAAUAAAGGGGGUCCAUGACGGUACCGUAAGAAUAAGCACCGGCUAACUACGUGCCAGCAGCCGCGGUAAUACGUAGGGUGCAAGCGUUAAUCGGACUUACUGGGCGUAAAGCGUGCGCAGGCGGUUAUAUAAGACAGAUGUGAAAUCCCCGGGCUCAACCUGGGAACUGCAUUUGUGACUGUAUAGCUAGAGUACGGUAGAGGGGGAUGGAAUUCCGCGUGUAGCAGUGAAAUGCGUAGAUAUGCGGAGGAACACCGAUGGCGAAGGCAAUCCCCUGGACCUGUACUGACGCUCAUGCACGAAAGCGUGGGGAGCAAACAGGAUUAGAAACCCCUGUAGUCC
Molecule: ribosomal RNA, 450 nt
Filed under: uncultured bacterium
Lineage: Bacteria
Description: partial 16S ribosomal RNA
Rfam family: Bacterial small subunit ribosomal RNA
Source: RNAcentral